GCUGCUGGGUAGUAUUAUCACUGCUCACAUAGGCUGCUGGCUGGUUUUAUAUCACUGCUCACAUAGGCUGCUGGCUGUUUAUAUCUCACCACACACACAGGCUGCUGGGUAGUAUUAUCACUGCUCACAUAGGCUGCUGGGUAUUAUUAUCACUGGUCACAUAGGCUGCUGGGUAGUAUUAUCACUGGUCACAUAUGCUGCUGGGUGGUUUUAUAUCACUGGUCACAUAGGCUGCUGGGUGGUAUUAUCACUGGUCACACAGGCUGCUGGGUGGUUUUAUAUCACUGGUCACAUAGGCUGCUGGGUAGUAUUAUCACUGGUCACAUAGGCUGCUGGCUGGUUUUAUAUCACUGGUCACAUAGGCUGCUGGGUGGUAUUAUCCCUGGUCACAUAGGCUGCUGGCUGGUAUUAUCACUGGUCACAUAGGCUGCUGGGUAGUAUUAUCACUGGUCACAUAGGCUGCUGGGUAGCAUUAUCACUGGUCACACAGGCUGCUGGGUGGUUUUAUAUCACUGGUCACAUACACUGGAACUCCUCUUGCUUUUGCUUCACUCACUCCUCCUGAGGUUUUCUCUGUUCGUGGCUAGAUCUAUCUGCUCAAUCAGUAAAAUGCCAACAUGAUGACCAUCAAGACAAUCAUGCCUGUCUUCAAAACACACUCAGAGAGUGCUAUUUCCACUAUUCCUGUCUUGCAAGUAGACUAGUUAGGACUCAAAGAAUUUGGGAAAAACAGCCACACAAGACUUGGACACUGAUCGGUUUGCCGCCAUUUCCCACAAUGAACGUUUUUUUGUAAGCAGACUCUAGCAGUCCAGGAUGGAAAAAUCUGUCAACAUCUUUUAGGAGCCGUAUUCUAUCUGAAUACGUGAGAGUGGUUUCAAAUCUUUUACUGUAGUGUCUGUAUUCUGCCUCAUGACCACUGCCUGGAGAAGACAAGUGAUCCAAUGAUGAUGAGUGUUUCCAAUGACGUCUUUGAGGCCUUCAAAGACCUCAAGGCAUGUAUUGAAUCAUUAAAAAAGGAAUUAUGAAAGUUUUCAUGUUAACUUCAUGGUAAUUAUACUGCUGACCAUAAUGCUGCCUAUUCUUUGACAUUUACCUAUUUGCCAAAGUCUAUAGCAUUGUUUCAUAAAACCCUUAUAAUAAAUCCUUGAGGUAAGUUUUAUCA
Molecule: long non-coding RNA, 1165 nt
Filed under: Oryctolagus cuniculus (rabbit)
Lineage: Eukaryota; Metazoa; Chordata; Mammalia; Lagomorpha; Leporidae
Description: lncRNA (ENSOCUG00000035297.1)
Source: RNAcentral